RNAcentral lists this ribosomal RNA (697 nucleotides) under Serratia marcescens. RNAcentral describes it as "bacterial SSU rRNA". It matches the Rfam family "Bacterial small subunit ribosomal RNA", at positions 808 to 1504 of the family's 1533-position model. The record is from RNAcentral. Lineage: Bacteria; Pseudomonadati; Pseudomonadota; Gammaproteobacteria; Enterobacterales; Yersiniaceae.
GAUGUCGAUUUGGAGGUUGUGCCCUUGAGGCGUGGCUUCCGGAGCUAACGCGUUAAAUCGACCGCCUGGGGAGUACGGCCGCAAGGUUAAAACUCAAAUGAAUUGACGGGGGCCCGCACAAGCGGUGGAGCAUGUGGUUUAAUUCGAUGCAACGCGAAGAACCUUACCUACUCUUGACAUCCAGAGAACUUUCCAGAGAUGGAUUGGUGCCUUCGGGAACUCUGAGACAGGUGCUGCAUGGCUGUCGUCAGCUCGUGUUGUGAAAUGUUGGGUUAAGUCCCGCAACGAGCGCAACCCUUAUCCUUUGUUGCCAGCGGUUCGGCCGGGAACUCAAAGGAGACUGCCAGUGAUAAACUGGAGGAAGGUGGGGAUGACGUCAAGUCAUCAUGGCCCUUACGAGUAGGGCUACACACGUGCUACAAUGGCGUAUACAAAGAGAAGCGACCUCGCGAGAGCAAGCGGACCUCAUAAAGUACGUCGUAGUCCGGAUUGGAGUCUGCAACUCGACUCCAUGAAGUCGGAAUCGCUAGUAAUCGUAGAUCAGAAUGCUACGGUGAAUACGUUCCCGGGCCUUGUACACACCGCCCGUCACACCAUGGGAGUGGGUUGCAAAAGAAGUAGGUAGCUUAACCUUCGGGAGGGCGCUUACCACUUUGUGAUUCAUGACUGGGGUGAAGUCGUAACAGGGAAACCCGUA